This is a long non-coding RNA of Panicum hallii, 692 nucleotides long. RefSeq lists it as uncharacterized. The transcript has 2 exons. Lineage: Eukaryota; Viridiplantae; Streptophyta; Magnoliopsida; Poales; Poaceae. The record is from RefSeq and is a predicted model, not a curated record.
ACGUCAGUGAAGCUUGGGUGAAUUUCUGGAAAGAGAACUACUCCAACUGGAAGCUCAACAAGGUCCUGGAGGAGUUCGCAUCCUGGGUCUUGGUGGAUGAUGAAGCAGUUGGCGCUUGCUUCUUCCCUCUGACAGAAGAUGGUGUCUCCAGUUAGAGCAUCUCCAACCCACCUCCCUUCUGACCUCCUAUCCUGUCUUUAGGAGAGAGAAAUGAAAAAACCCCUCCAACCCACCUCUCAUCGGGUUCCUAUGGAUAGGAGAGCUCUCAUCCACGAGCUCCAACCUCCUACAUCUAGGAGGCCCGCUCCCGACUCUCAUCCGGCUUGAGGAGCAACGGCCGCCCCUUCCUGCGCCGGCAUGGACGCCACUCCCACCAAUGGAACCCUGGAUGAUCGAUAUGCUUGGAAGCAAUGCUGGUGGCAGCCAUGAUCUGGAUAUGCUUGGAACCUAUGCUGGUGGCAGCCAUGAUGUGGAAGUUGCUGAGACUCAGUAUGCUAGCCCACAACUGGAACAAGUUUUCAUAGAGGCUGCAGUUGUUGAAGUUAGCACUGCUGUGAAAGGUAAUAAGAAGAGAUCUAAAAUUUUUAUCAUCAUGUAUUGAUCCAUAAAUCUGCUGGUACGCCAUAACUUAUCAUCAUGUAUGCUGCAGUAAUCUUCUGCAAACAAGAUAAUCCAAGACGUCUAUUUGAAUC